This 389-nucleotide ribosomal RNA is filed under the name uncultured Nitrospina sp. Its description in RNAcentral is "bacterial SSU rRNA". It matches the Rfam family "Bacterial small subunit ribosomal RNA", at positions 29 to 410 of the family's 1533-position model. Lineage: Bacteria; Pseudomonadati; Nitrospinota; Nitrospinia; Nitrospinales; Nitrospinaceae. The record is from RNAcentral.
AACGAACGCUGGUGGCGUGCUUAACACAUGCAAGUCGAACGAGAAAGUUUCCUUCGGGAAAUUAGUAAAGUGGCGCAAGGGUGAGUAUCACGUGAAUAAUCUGCCCUCGAGAUCGGGAUAACAUGGUGAAAACUAUGCUAAUACCGGAUAAGACCACAUUUCAUAAGAAAUGCGGUAAAAGGAGUCUCAAUCUUCACUCGAGGAUGAGUUCGCGCAACAUUAGCUUGUUGGUGGGGUAAGAGCCUACCAAGGCGACGAUGGUUAGCGGGUCUGAGAGGACGAUCCGCCACACUGGAACUGAGACACGGUCCAGACUCCUACGGGAGGCAGCAGUAGGGAAUAUUGCGCAAUGGGGGAAACCCUGACGCAGCAAUGCCGCGUGGGGGAUG